This 205-nucleotide ribosomal RNA is filed under the name uncultured bacterium. Its description in RNAcentral is "partial 16S ribosomal RNA". It matches the Rfam family "Bacterial small subunit ribosomal RNA", at positions 569 to 774 of the family's 1533-position model. The record is from RNAcentral.
GUGUAGGCGGGGCGGCAGGUGCCUUGCGAAAGCCCCGGCUCAACCGGGGAAUUGCAGGGCAAACCGCCGCUCUUGAGGCAGGUAGGGGCAAGUGGAACUAUGGGUGGAGCGGUGAAAUGCGUAGAUAUCCAUGGGAACGCCUGUGGCGAAAGCGGCUUGCUGGGCCUGGCCUGACGCUGAGACCCGAAAGCGUGGGUAGCAAACA